Oncorhynchus kisutch (coho salmon) is the source of this 787-nucleotide long non-coding RNA. RefSeq lists it as uncharacterized. Lineage: Eukaryota; Metazoa; Chordata; Actinopteri; Salmoniformes; Salmonidae. The record is from RefSeq and is a predicted model, not a curated record. The transcript is spliced from 4 exons.
GAAGAAAUAUGUUAGACAUCUUGUUUUGGCACAACCAAAUGUGACAUUGUGCAGACUUUGGUUAGCGAGCUAACAACUGUCAUUAGCUAGCAAGUAUAGUUAAAUCUCUAAAUGCAUGUCUCUUUUUUUUCAGUUGUCCAAUGGAGUCCAUGGGGGAGCACAAAGAGGGAACGGGAUCAUGUCAAAGGUCUCAACCUUGAUGAUCGUUCAGCCAUCACCACCGAUCACCUUAAGAUGUCUCAAGACAAAGUUGACCUACUCUCGUUAACCGGGCGACUAAUUCUGGUCUUUCCUGUGCAGUUUUAUUAAACAGAGAAUACAUCUAAAUGUUACAUUAGAUAACAUCUCCCAAAUAAAUGGAUAAAUGGCUGGUGCAUUUAUUGAUGUUUCUUGUUUUAUUGAUCAGCCCUGCCAACCUCACGUGCUGCAGAGUAGACUGGACUUAUAGUGACCUUCAUGCAUGGUUAGGCUGACGAGGAUACGAGGAUGGAAGACAUGUCAGGCACCCAACUAAAUGAAGACUGGACAUAGACAAAAGCUGGCGUCCUAUCUGGUGUCAAACGGUAAGACCUCGUGGACGAUGGGGCUUUUACGCUUCAGAUUAAGGAAGAGCAUCUCUGAGAUCCCCAAACAAGAGAAGACUAUCUCUGGCUGUAAAGGCUUGAAGACAGGCGCUGUUUGGAGCUCUAUACCACCUUCAGCUACAGUUAUUUUGUUGCUUCUGAAAUUGUUAUUUUUGGUCAAUAAAUCUUGAUUACUUUGAUUUGGUGUCCAUCACAAUUGGGGC